Molecule: transfer RNA, 62 nt
Filed under: Ictidomys tridecemlineatus (thirteen-lined ground squirrel)
Lineage: Eukaryota; Metazoa; Chordata; Mammalia; Rodentia; Sciuridae
Description: Spermophilus tridecemlineatus (thirteen-lined ground squirrel) tRNA
Rfam family: tRNA
About the family: Transfer RNA (tRNA) molecules are approximately 80 nucleotides in length. Their secondary structure includes four short double-helical elements and three loops (D, anti-codon, and T loops). Further hydrogen bonds mediate the characteristic L-shaped molecular structure. tRNAs have two regions of fundamental functional importance: the anti-codon, which is responsible for specific mRNA codon recognition, and the 3' end, to which the tRNAs corresponding amino acid is attached (by aminoacyl-tRNA synthetases). tRNAs cope with the degeneracy of the genetic code in two manners: having more than one tRNA (with a specific anti-codon) for a particular amino acid; and 'wobble' base-pairing, i.e. permitting non-standard base-pairing at the 3rd anti-codon position.
Source: Rfam by way of RNAcentral
GGGGUUGUGGCUCAGUGGUAGAGCGCUUGUCUUGCAAAUAUGAGGCCCUGGGUUCAAUUCUA